This 468-nucleotide ribosomal RNA is filed under the name uncultured bacterium. RNAcentral's name for it is "partial 16S ribosomal RNA". It matches the Rfam family "Bacterial small subunit ribosomal RNA", at positions 28 to 507 of the family's 1533-position model. The record is from RNAcentral.
GACGAACGCUGGCGGCGUGCUUAACACAUGCAAGUCGAACGGAAAGGCCCUGCUUUUGUGGGGUGCUCGAGUGGCGAACGGGUGAGUAACACGUGAGUAACCUGCCCUUGACUUUGGGAUAACUUCAGGAAACUGGGGCUAAUACCGGAUAGGAGCUCCUGCUGCAUGGUGGGGGUUGGAAAGUUUCGGCGGUUGGGGAUGGACUCGCGGCUUAUCAGCUUGUGGGUGGGGUAGUGGCUUACCAAGGCUUUGACGGGUAGCCGGCCUGAGAGGGUGACCGGCCACAUUGGCACUGAGAUACGGCCCAGACUCCUACGGGAGGCAGCAGUGGGGAAUAUUGCACAAUGGGCGGAAGCCUGAUGCAGCAACGCCGCGUGCGGGAUGACGGCCUUCGGGUUGUAAACCGCUUUCGCCUGUGACGAAGCGUGAGUGACGGUAAUGGGUAAAGAAGCACCGGCUAACUACGUG